This 254-nucleotide ribosomal RNA is filed under the name uncultured bacterium. RNAcentral's name for it is "partial 16S ribosomal RNA". It matches the Rfam family "Bacterial small subunit ribosomal RNA", at positions 524 to 776 of the family's 1533-position model. The record is from RNAcentral.
UACGUAGGGGGCUAGCGUUGUCCGGAAUCAUUGGGCGUAAAGCGCGCGUAGGCGGCCUGGUAAGUCCGCUGUGAAAGUCAAAGGCUCAACCUUUGAAUGUCAGCGGAUACUGCCAGGCUAGAGUCCGGAAGAGGCGAGUGGAAUUCCUGGUGUAGCGGUGGAAUGCGCAGAUAUCAGGAGGAACACCAACGGCGAAGGCAGCUCGCUGGGACGGUACUGACGCUGAGGCGCGAAAGCGUGGGGGAGCGAACAGG